Molecule: small RNA, 1069 nt
Filed under: Histoplasma ohiense
Lineage: Eukaryota; Fungi; Ascomycota; Eurotiomycetes; Onygenales; Ajellomycetaceae
Description: hypothetical lncRNA
Source: RNAcentral
AAUGCCCUGGUCUUUUUAACAGGCCUGCCGUCAUCCGCAGAAUGAUCCGCACUAAGCGCGUGCAUGAGCGUGGGGGUUAUCAUCGUAUAGGAUGAGACAGAUUUUGCAACACCCCUCGCCGCGCAUGCAUGAAAAGUGGAUUGGAAGGUUCUGUUUCUUGCCUACGCAGAAGUCGGCAAGUACUAAUUGCAUUUUAAUAAUCAUCCCUUAAAUGGUGCUGAAGAAGCCGUUGCAUUGCUGGAGACAGCGGGUAAGCUCAUCGAGAUUGCAGGCUCGCUGAGACCAAUGACUUGCUGCUGCAGAUGAGAGUCAGACAAGGUCAUUGGUGGUCAACUGAAACAUUGAUAUCAUCGCCUUUAACUCGGAUACAAACGGUGUGGGGGGAAGCAGAGAAAAAAUGAUCGCUCUGCUGUACGCGAACAUCUCGGAGGCAGAUGGAAGAGAACAGGCUGAUGCACAUUUCGAGUCUCUCUAGAUAAUUAACUAGAAAACAAACACUAUUCAAACUCUUUACAAAUAUCUUUUUGAGACUUUUUCUUGGCCAUUCAUUCUCUUACUAUUUUAUAGUAAGAAACUGCUACGAAUAUACUCACUUUCAGGGAUACCGAAAAUCCAUAUAGGCUUCGUAAAUGAUAUCAAUAUCGAUCUAUAGUAUCUUGCUGAAGGAGGGAGUUAUUUCAUACAGGGAAUGUUGCGAAAUUCGUCCAUUUUGCUGACUACUGUGCUUGACAAAAAGGGAUGUCUCUGUAAGAGGGUUGAACCUUGGUUGAUCUAUCUAUGUGUGGGUCACGUGGGAUAGGGCUUGUGUACACAGGCUAAUCUUAUCUCAGCGAGCUCAGACCCUCUAUUGGCUCGGUUGCAGCAGCAUGACACUAAACUACUUUAGUUACAAGUCAUGUGCUCAGGGCAAUCCUUGCCAGAGGAUCUGAGAAGGAACGGUUCAUGCUCCUGUGGAGAUUAUUGAGAUUUUCAUAGAUUCUUCAAAUUUCUCAACUUUGACUUUCAAUUACACAAUAGUCAUAUAUCUUUGAGAUUUGUGAACCACCUUAGGUUGUAGCUAAAGAGAAGA